GGGUUUGGGGUGAACAUCAGCGAGCUGCCCGACGAGAUCGACAUCUCCUCCUACAUCGAGCAGACCCGAUAAGGACCCCCCAGACCCCGCCGCCGCCGGGACCCCCCCCGGGACCACCGACCCCCAAAAGUUCCCCCCAAACCCGGCCCGGCCGCGGGGGGUUGGGCCGCCCCCCCCUCCCCCGGGGUUUUGUAGAAAAAUGGCCUGAAAAGACAAAAAAAAAAAGGAAAAAAAAGGAAAAAAAAAAAAGCGAAGUUUCCCCCUGUGUAGCAGCCGGGGGGAGGGGCUUGGGGACCCCCCCGACCCCCCGGGACCCCCCCCGACCCCCCCCCGGCUGUAAAAUUUCUGGUUUUUUUUGGUAAUAAAGUUUUGCCAAAACGGC
Molecule: long non-coding RNA, 382 nt
Organism: Zonotrichia leucophrys gambelii
Lineage: Eukaryota; Metazoa; Chordata; Aves; Passeriformes; Passerellidae
Exons: 2
Source: RefSeq, a predicted model, not a curated record